Molecule: long non-coding RNA, 1857 nt
Organism: Fukomys damarensis (Damara mole-rat)
Lineage: Eukaryota; Metazoa; Chordata; Mammalia; Rodentia; Bathyergidae
Exons: 13
Source: RefSeq, a predicted model, not a curated record
CUGUGAACUGCGCAUGUCAGAGAGCGAGAUGCCGCCAUGUUGAGUCAUCCUGAAAGCAGGAAACAGCCUCCGUGAACGUGAUCCUAGUGCUAAAAAGUGGAUUUACCAACAGAAUCUCAUCAGCCUUCCCUUCAGCUCUGGGAGGUAGACACUGCUAUUUGUGACUACUCACAGGUAGUGCGUACCGAGGCUCAGUGGGGUGACUAAUUCUAAGGACAGAACCAGCACCAUGCAGCUGCUCUACGUCUAGCAACUGUAACCUGCCUGCUGAGGACCAAAGGAGCGCUUCAUGAAAGCACCUCUUUUAGGGCUGUCUUGGUACCUCGAAAGCAAAGUUGAAGAAUUGUCCGAGCGACCCCAAGUCCGUGGCCCAUGGGUGUCCCUGCAGCAGGACUCCUGCGUCACACUUUGAAUCGAUACAGGCGGAGGACUCGCCUUGGCGUUGAAUUUUCCUGGAUUGGAUCAGAUCUAUUUCUGCCCAAGUUGUGCAGAUCUUACCAGAUAUUAAGAAGAUAAAAAGAAAUAGAGAAAGAAUGUUCAGCAAAGACAGGACUCCUGCCUUCUCAAUGUGAAUUGUUCCUUUGUUCUUCUCUGUGUUCCUGUCCAGCCACACGGGAAACUCUUAAGAGACAAAGAAAAACAAAACAGACCCUCUGCUGUUUGAAGGUGGUGCCGCUGAGUCUUCUGUCCCUGGUACAUCAGACUAUCGGAGGAUGCUCUGGGGUCCUGCAAUACUGCGGAGGAGAGAUAAGUGAUGUGGCUGACAUCACACCCCAUGUUUGGGCUGCCUGUGCCUGUGCACUUGUCUCAGACCAUCAGCACCAGAGAAGGACACUCUGUAACUAUGGGAAGUCAAGAUGAAAACAAGAGACCCUUUCGUGAUCAUGUCUGCGUACGGAAGAAAUUGAUUGAAGUCAACCCAAGACAGCUUAAGAAGAAGAAAGAAAAAAUAUUUCUUUGAAGGUGAAGGUGUUGGCAGGAGACCCUACUUUUUUGUCAUGUGCUCCUGGCCCCAAGAUGGCUAGAAAGCUCUGAGGAUGGCAGCCAUGUUCUUCUGGCUAGGACGUGGAGCACAGAAAAGUGGACCAGGUUGUCAGAUCAGUGAAAUGAUUUUGGAAUGGCAAGAAUGGGACUGGAAGAAGGACCCAGAAUGUUCAAGAGUUGAACCAUAUCGUGACUAAAACUGUGGAGCAGAAUGUUGACCCAAGGGUACCUCAAAGACACAGAGAAGAAGGAAAAUGCUCUGAAGGCCCUGCAGAGUACCAGCUGUUUUAUUCAUCUGUAACCCCAUGGCAAGCACAGUACCUGGUAGAUUAUGAAUGUUUUAGCCAACGUUUGCUGAAUGAAUGAGAGACCACAUGGAUAAGCACUUAAGCAGUUGUUUUUCUCAGGCAUUUCACCACAAUAAGAACUGACACCAUCUCACACAGGAAAAAGAACAUAGUCGACAGUUGCCUAUGAAACCCAAUCAGGUGGACGACUGCAUAGCAGAGCUUCAUGCCCAGUGUUGGCAGAGUGAUUUCAUCACGCCUCCUUGGCCUAGCACAGCCCGACUUCCAUGGUCCUCAUUACAGCAGCCAAGCUCAGGCAAGCCACCAACACCGUCCCUGUCGAAAGGACAUUGUCAUUGCCAGCGCGCAUUCUGCUUCUCCUUUCUCCAGCGUUUUCCACGUUGGGACUCUCCCUCCUUCUGCACGGCAUUUCGUGGUCUGGAUCUCUCUGCAGUAGUCAUUCAGAGUGUUAAGAGUAUUGCGCAUGGAGGCCGAGAGUCCGAGAGCAGCUCCUCUCUCAUGGAGUGCACCGUCCUGGGAAAGUGGCUUCACCAAUCUAGGCCUUAUUUUUUUAGUUAUGAGGGGA